CGACCUCAAAUCAGGUAGGAAUACCCGCUGAACUUAAGCAUAUCAAUAAGCGGAGGAAAAGAAAAUAACAAUGAUUCCCCUAGUAACGGCGAGCGAAGAGGGAAUAGCUCAAAUUUUAAAUCUGUAGGUUUUACCUAACCGAGUUGUAAUUUGAAGAAGCGUUUUCCGUGUUUUCGAUUAACCCAAAUCCUUUGGGAUAAGGUAUCAUGGAGGGUGAGAAUCCCGUCCGGUUAAAUCGAGACGCUUUACGAUACGCUUUCUAAGAGUCGAGUUGUUUGGGAUUGCAGCUCAAAAUGGGAGGUAUAUUUCUCCUAAGGCUAAAUAAAGGCGAGAGACCGAUAGCGAACAAGUACCGUGAGGGAGAGAUGAAAAGAACUUUGAAAAGAGAGUUAAACAGUACGUGAAAUUGUUGAAAGGGAAACGAUUAAAGUCAGUCGUACCGACGGGGAAUCAACUUCCCGAGCGUGGUUUAGUGGGUUCAAAGUGCCUUUGUUCUCGCGAUAUCUGCGUUCUUUUGGUGCACUUUCCCGUAUUGUAGGUUAGCAUCGGUUUUGAUCGUCAUAAAAAGAUUGGAGGAAUGUGGCUCCGACUUCGGUUGAAGUGUUAUAGACUCUGGUAGAUGUGAUGGUUGAGACCGAGGAUUGCAACGGAUGCCCUUAAGGGCUAUCCGCCUGGCCUCUGAUUUGUUGCUUUGGCUUCGAAAGCUUGCUUACGAGGUAAAAGUUUGCGGUCAAUAGGUUAGAACGGAUUAAAUUCGUUAAGGAUGCUGACGUAAUGGCUUUAAACGACCCGUCUUGAAACACGGACCAAGGAGUCUAACAUGUAUGCGAGUGUU
RNAcentral lists this ribosomal RNA (835 nucleotides) under uncultured Glomeraceae. Its description in RNAcentral is "eukaryotic LSU rRNA". It matches the Rfam family "Eukaryotic large subunit ribosomal RNA", at positions 1 to 694 of the family's 3401-position model. Lineage: Eukaryota; Fungi; Glomeromycota; Glomeromycetes; Glomerales; Glomeraceae. The record is from RNAcentral.